Non-coding RNA from Seriola dumerili (greater amberjack), 544 nucleotides. NCBI's taxonomy places the organism in Eukaryota, Metazoa, Chordata, Actinopteri, Carangiformes, Carangidae. The record is from the annotation of a RefSeq genome assembly.
AAGCAGCUGAGUUCUCAUCUUCAGUCUCAUCAAGAUGGACAAACUGUCUGUUCUGCUGACAGCGCUCUGUCUGCCCUGUUUGAAUGGCCAGGCACUGGAGUCCAUUCCCUCCAGUUCAGUACUGAAAAAGCCUCAGGAAGCCCUCAGUCUGUCCUGCAGGGGAACUGGAUUUGAUUUCAGUAGCUAUGGAAUGCACUGGAUCAGACAACCUGCAGGAAAAGCACUGGAAUGGAUGGGGCUUAUUUACUACGAUGCAAGUAAAACUGUAUAUGCCAGCAGUUUGCAAGGAUGUAUAGAAAUCACCAGAGAAAACAGCAAUAGUAUUGUGCAUCUGAGACUGUCCAGCCUAAAGCUGGAGGACUCGGCUGUGUACUACUGUGCUAGAUACACACUGGUUAAAGUGGGGCGAGAGGCUUUACAAAAACCUCAAAUAACCUAUGUUUGCAAUGAUCUACAGGGGGCAGCAGCAGAUCAGAAACAGCAACUGUUUGGCAUCACACUUACACAAACAAAGGAAAACACACAAUGUGAAAGCAGCAGCUGA